AAUCAACGCUGGCGGCGUGCCUCAGACAUGCAAGUCGAACGCGAAAGUCCCCUUCGGGGGAUGAUUAGAGUGGCGUCCGGGUGAGUAACACGUGGGUAAUCUACCUUCGGGUGGGGAAUAACAGUCGGAAACGACUGCUAAUACCGCAUAAUGCAGCGGCACCUAAUGGUGACAGUUGUUAAAGCGGGGGAUCGCAAGACCUCGCGCCUGAAGAGGAGCCCGCGGCGGAUAGCUAGUUGGCAGGGUAACGGCCUACCAAGGCGACGAUCCGUAGCCGGCCUGAGAGGGCGGUCGGCCACACUGGCACUGACAUACGGGCCAGACUCCUACGGGAGGCAGCAGUGGGGAAUAUUGCGCAAUGGGCAAAGCCUGACGCAGCGACGCCGCGUGUGGGAU
Molecule: ribosomal RNA, 396 nt
Filed under: uncultured bacterium
Lineage: Bacteria
Description: bacterial SSU rRNA
Rfam family: Bacterial small subunit ribosomal RNA
Source: RNAcentral